Molecule: ribosomal RNA, 487 nt
Filed under: uncultured bacterium
Lineage: Bacteria
Description: bacterial SSU rRNA
Rfam family: Bacterial small subunit ribosomal RNA
Source: RNAcentral
GAUGAACGCUAGCGGCAGGCUUAAUACAUGCAAGUCGAGGGGCAGCAUAAGUAGCAAUACUUGAUGGCGACCGGCAAACGGGUGCGGAACACGUACGCAACCUUCCUUUAAGUGGGGAAUAGCCCGGGGAAACCCGGAUUAAUACCCCGUAAUAUUAUGAUGUGGCAUCACAUUAUAAUUAUAGAUUCAUCGCUUAAAGAUGGGCGUGCGCCUGAUUAGGUAGUUGGCGGAGUAAUAGCCCACCAAGCCUGCGAUCAGUAACUGGUGUGAGAGCACGACCAGUCACACGGGCACUGAGACACGGGCCCGACUCCUACGGGAGGCAGCAGUAAGGAAUAUUGGUCAAUGGACGCAAGUCUGAACCAGCCAUGCCGCGUGGAGGAUGAAGGUCCUCUGGAUUGUAAGCUUUCUUUUAUUUGGGAAGAAAUGUGAUGAUUCUUUAUCACUUGACGGUACCAGAUGAAUAAGCACCGGCUAACUCCGUGCC